CAUGGCUAGCGGGAAGAGGGCGGCAGGUAGCCUAGCUGUAAGAGGGCGGCAGGUAGCCUAGCUGUAAGAGGGCGGCAGGUAGCCUAGCUGUAAGAGGGCGGCAGGUAGCCUAGCUGUAAGAGGGCGGCAGGUAGCCUAGCGGUAAGAGGGCGGCAGGUAGCCUAGCGGUAAGAGGGCGGCAGGUAGCCUAGCGGUAAGAGGGCGGCAGGUAGCCUAGCGGUAAGAGGGCGGCAGGUAGCCUAGCGGUAAGAGGGCGGCAGGUAGCCUAGCGGUAAGAGGGCGGCAGGUAGCCUAGCGGUAAGAGGGCGGCAGGUAGCCUAGCGGUAAGAGGGCGGCAGGUAGCCUAGCGGUAAGAGGGCGGCAGGUAGCCUAGCGGUAAGAGGGAGGCAGGUAGUCUAGCGGUAGGAGUGCGUUUUGAACGUGGAAGUAUUUUAUUUUGGAAGCGUUUUUUUUGCAGAAAUACCUUCUCGAACAUGUGAACUUUCAUGUGCCUUAAUAAUGGUUUAUGCCAUCUGUAAAUACAAAUAAAAUUAUAAAUUACGAGCUUAGUUGGUUAAGCCACAGAAAAGUCAGCAACCUUCCCACUAGCCAUGAUUAGCUGAGACAAUGAGUGGGCUGAACAUAAUAUAAUAAUAUAUGCCAUUUAGCAGACGCUUUUAUCCAAAGCGACUUACAGUCGUGCAUACAUUCUACGUAUUCUACAAUGUUCUAUUACUGCUAUGCUACCUGCCGCCUUCAAUAUUCUAUUGUUAUCUGAUGUUGUGCUUGGCUGAUAUUCUGCUC
Long non-coding RNA from Oncorhynchus keta (chum salmon), 783 nucleotides. RefSeq lists it as uncharacterized. NCBI's taxonomy places the organism in Eukaryota, Metazoa, Chordata, Actinopteri, Salmoniformes, Salmonidae. The record is from RefSeq and is a predicted model, not a curated record. The transcript has 4 exons.